Molecule: small nucleolar RNA, 119 nt
Filed under: Jaculus jaculus (lesser Egyptian jerboa)
Lineage: Eukaryota; Metazoa; Chordata; Mammalia; Rodentia; Dipodidae
Description: Small nucleolar RNA SNORA28 (ENSJJAG00000009051.1)
Rfam family: Small nucleolar RNA SNORA28
About the family: ACA28 is a member of the H/ACA class of snoRNA that guide the sites of modification of uridines to pseudouridines.
Source: Rfam by way of RNAcentral
AAGUAACACUGUGUGGCAGAUGAUAAAACUGUCUGAUAGAAUUUGAGCUUGCUAUAGCAAGAAUCUAACCUAGUCCCACGUUCUCUCCUCACUAAGACAAGCUAUUAGACUUAAACAAU